This 305-nucleotide ribosomal RNA is filed under the name uncultured bacterium. RNAcentral describes it as "bacterial SSU rRNA". It matches the Rfam family "Bacterial small subunit ribosomal RNA", at positions 331 to 630 of the family's 1533-position model. The record is from RNAcentral.
CGGGACCUACGGGGGGCAGCAGUGGGGGAUAUUGCACAAUGGGGGAAACCCUGAUGCAGCGACGCCGCGUGAAUGAAGAAGGCCUUCGGGUUGUAAAAUUCUGUUAUAAGGGAAGAAAGGUGAUAGGAGGAAAUGACUAUCAAUUGACGGUACCUUAUGAGAAAGCCACGGCUAACUACGUGCCAGCAGCCGCGGUAAUACGUAGGUGGCAAGCGCUAUCCGGAAUUAUUGGGCGUAAAGAGCGCGCAGGUGGUUAAUUAAGUCUGAUGUGAAAGCCCACGGCUUAACCGUGGAGGGUCAUUGGA